RNAcentral lists this long non-coding RNA (550 nucleotides) under Vigna radiata. RNAcentral's name for it is "long non-coding RNA (VRAD_LNC005286)". Lineage: Eukaryota; Viridiplantae; Streptophyta; Magnoliopsida; Fabales; Fabaceae. The record is from RNAcentral.
GUGCACACAUGCUUGGAUUUAUAGGCAAAUGAAAAGAAGAGAGAUGUUUAGAAAGGUUUAGAGGAGAAUGGGAUAGUUGUAUGGACAAGUCAUUCCUCAUAUAAUCCUCAAAGGAGAUAUGAUAUGUGAAUGGCAGGGUGAAAGGCGAGAUAGACAAAAGCUGCCCUAGUUUUGUGUUUGGGAAAAUGAGCUGGGGUUUGGAUCCAUGAAAGUUAGGGUAAGAAAAUUUCAAAUGAGAUUUGCAAAGCUGCCCCAGUCUUGAGGUUAUGGAUUGAUGAAAAACUUGUGUGAGACUCACAAAGCUGCCCAAUUUUUGUUUGCUUUUUCUUUGUUUAUUGUGGUGUGGGUUGAUGAAAAGCUUGGGCGAGACUCACAAAGUUGUCCCAGUUUUUUUCUUUGACAAGGGGUUCUGUUUGGAAGAGGUAUUGGACAUGAAAAGGAUCGGCUAAAAGGAUGCCCCCAAAUUAGUUUGAUUUUUCUUUUGCAUGCUUCUGGUUAGAUGACAAGGUGAUCCCCUCUUCCCGAGACAUUACUUUUUCUUCUUCUUUUU